AAUAAUCACUGAAAUGUUAAGAACUCUUUCAGGUAACGUUUAUGUUUAUUGAUCAAUAUUUUCCCUUGGCAGAAGAUUGUUAUGCCUGCUCUUAAGCACCAACUACUUGAGGCCAGAGAGCCUAAUGUUUACCCAGCUCCUGGGCAGGCUGAGUCUCAAUUGUCAUUGAACAUGUGACUUCAUUAAACCACGUCUAACAUUUCCCUCUCCUACCUCUUUUCUCAGAAGACAGUCUAGUGGCCCAGUAUGUGGCCAAAUUGAAUUGCAAGCAAUAGGGAGAAAAAGCCAAAGUUCUUUUCACUUCCCUUUACUUGAGCUUUAGAGUUCUUAUUUUGUACUUAUACUUGAACAAUAAUAAUUUUAUUAACAUUAUUAACAGACAUUUAUCUAAAGUGUAUUAUAUGCCAGGUACCAUGCUGUUAUUUCAUUAUUUAUUCAUCAAAUAAUGAUUACCAGCUGGGUACAGUUGCUCACACCUGUAAUCCCAGUGCGUCGAGAGGCCAAGGUGGGAGGAUCAUUUGAGACCAGGAGUUUGAGACCAGUCUGGGCUACACAGGGAGAUGUUGUCUGUACAAAAAAAUUAAAAUUAAAAAAAGUUACUGCUGAAAUAUUAGAGUUAUCCUUAUUUUAUAGACAAGUAAACUGAGCUAAAGGAAGUUAAGCAACUUGCCUGAUGUCAUCCGAGUUAAGUAAGAAGCAGAGUUAAAUUUUGAACACAGACUUUUUCUGACUCCUCUUGAAGGCCAGUCCUUAAUUGCUACGUUACAUAAUAUAACAUAAUACAUACAAAAUUUCUUUGAAAUUGUGUGUUAGUGGUCAGUAGUUUUCAAAUAGCUAUUUUUGUUAUUUUCUUUCUUUCUUUCAAGAGAUAUGGUCUCAUUCUGUCACCCAGGCUGGAGUGCAGUGGCACAAUAAUAGCUCACUGCAGUCUUGAACUCCUGGGUGCAAGCAAUCUUUCUGCCUUAGUAUCCUGAGUAGUUGGGACUACAGGUGUGGGCCACCAACCCCAGCUAAUUAAAAACAGAUUUUUUUUUUUUUGUAGAAAUGGGGUCUUACUUUGUUGCCCAGAAUGGUCUCCAACUCCUGGCCUCAAAUGAUCCUUCUGCCUCAGCCUCCCAAAGUGCUGAGAUUACAGACGUAAGCCACUGUGUCCAACCUACUAUUUUCAAUAAGA
RNAcentral lists this long non-coding RNA (1174 nucleotides) under Homo sapiens (human). Its description in RNAcentral is "HSALNT0076749". The record is from RNAcentral. Lineage: Eukaryota; Metazoa; Chordata; Mammalia; Primates; Hominidae.